AAGACGCUUGAGAGAACUCAGGAGAAGGAACUCGGCAAAUUGACACCGUAACUUCGGAAGAAGGUGUGCCUUUAGUAGGUGAAGUCCCUCGCGGAUGGAGCCCAAUGAGGUUGCAAAAAAUCGGUGGCUGCGACUGUUUAUUAAAAACACAGCACUCUGCAAACACGAAAGUGGACGUAUAGGGUGUGACGCCUGCCCGGUGCUGGAAGAUUAAAUGAUGGGGUGCAAGCUCUUGAUUGAAGUCCCAGUAAACGGCGGCCGUAACUAUAACGGUCCUAAGGUAGCGAAAUUCCUUGUCGGGUAAGUUCCGACCUGCACGAAUGGCGUAACGACGGCCACACUGUCUCCUCCUGAGACUCAGCGAAGUUGAAAUGUUUGUGAUGAUGCAAUCUCCCCGCGGAAAGACGGAAAGACCCCAUGAACCUUUACUGUAGCUUUGUAUUGGACUUUGAACAGAUCUGUGUAGGAUAGGUGGGAGGCUUUGAAGCAGGGUCGCUAGACCUUGUGGAGCCAACGUUGAAAUACCACCCUGGUGUGUUUGAGGUUCUAACCUAGGCCCGUAAUCCGGGUUGGGGACAGUGCAUGGUAGGCAGUUUGACUGGGGCGGUCUCCUCCCAAAGUGUAACGGAGGAGUUCGAAGGUACGCUAGUUACGGUCGGACAUCGUGACGAUAGUGCAAUGGCAUAAGCGUGCUUAACUGCGAGACUGACAAGUCGAGCAGAUGCGAAAGCAGGACAUAGUGAUCCGGUGGUUCUGUAUGGAAGGGCCAUCGCUCAACGGAUAAAAGGUACUCUGGGGAUAACAGGCUGAUACCGCCCAAGAGUUCAUAUCGACGGCGGUGUUUGGCACCUCGAUGUCGGCUCAUCUCAUCCUGGGGCUGUAGCCGGUCCCAAGGGUAUGGCUGUUCGCCAUUUAAAGAGGUACGUGAGCUGGGUUUAAAACGUCGUGAGACAGUUUGGUCCCUAUCUUCCGUGGGCGCUGCAGAUUUGAGGAAGCCUGCUCCUAGUACGAGAGGACCGGAGUGGACGCACCUCUGGUGUAUCGGUUGUCACGCCAGUGGCAUUGCCGAGUAGCUAUGUGCGGAAGAGAUAACCGCUGAAAGCAUCUAAGCGGGAAACUCGUUUCAAGAUGAGAUCUGCCGGGGCCUUGAGCCCCCUGAAGAGUCGUUCAAGACCAGGACGUUGAUAGGUCGGGUGUGGAAGCGCAGUAAUGCGUUAAGCUAACCGAUACUAAUUGCUCGUGCGGCUUGACCCC
RNAcentral lists this ribosomal RNA (1254 nucleotides) under metagenome. RNAcentral describes it as "bacterial LSU rRNA". It matches the Rfam family "Bacterial large subunit ribosomal RNA", at positions 1683 to 2925 of the family's 2925-position model. The record is from RNAcentral.